Molecule: microRNA, 22 nt
Filed under: Bandicoot papillomatosis carcinomatosis virus type 1
Lineage: Floreoviria; Shotokuvirae; Cossaviricota; Papovaviricetes; Zurhausenvirales; Papillomaviridae
Also listed under: 1 other name
Description: bpcv1-miR-B1
Gene: bpcv1-miR-B1
Source: miRBase by way of RNAcentral
AAUACUGUGCUUGAGAGUGCGC